This is a non-coding RNA of Cricetulus griseus (Chinese hamster), 1857 nucleotides long. NCBI's taxonomy places the organism in Eukaryota, Metazoa, Chordata, Mammalia, Rodentia, Cricetidae. The record is from RefSeq and is a predicted model, not a curated record.
UCGGUGUGUAGAGUGUUUGUCUAUCGUAUAUGAAGCCCAGCACCACACAAAUGGACUAUGAUGGUCCAUAUCUGUAGUGUCAGCGCUCCAGAGGCGAGGCGGGUGAAUCAGAUGCUGAAGGGCAUCGUUGAUUACACUGUGAGUUCACGGCCAGCCUGGAAUACUUUCGACCUGGUCUAAAAACGAAACUGUUUCUGCCACUAGUGGCUGGCUUCGUUUUUAUGUAAAUGGGACUGGAGACUUGACUAGCCGGGGAGCUUUCUGAGGUCGAGCUGGAUGGAAACACACCUCUGGGAGGGGGCUCCGGCUGUCCCUGAGUCCAACCUUGAGUGAGGAGCAGCAGAAAAGGCUUAUACUAAGAUCGCCCAUACUUCCACGUACUGACGGAGGCCAGUCACCUGUGCCCACAGAGAAGGGCCUAGAAGUCUCAGUCCCUGCUCUCCCUUCUCUUCACCCCCUGCUCUAAACCUUUCUUCUCUCCACGAGCAGCUGCUCAACUAAAAUGAAGUCAGAUUCCCAGGCUUGAGUAGUGGUUGGAGGGAGCCCUCCCGGCUUGCCCUGUAGGUGCGCCUCACUGUUACACUCGUUAUGUAAGCUGAGCAGCAGCCGACAUGCCUCGCGGAUGAGUGUGUGCGUCUGCACCCCCAUCUCAGCCAGGGGAGUCACUCGGGCUUUCCCUGGGUCUGAAAUAGUGUGGCACUGAGGCAUGUAGUGGCAGAAAACACUUUUAUCGCCCGCCGAAGAGGGCCAGUUGGUGGGUGUUAUCCCCCCCCCGAGUGCUCUUCUCCAGCACGGCCUCAGGAAAAACCAGUUUUGGAAGCACCACACCUAGGGUCAGAUGAUGCAACGUGAUAUUAGCGUCGGGUUGCAUCAGCGGUUCUGACGCAUGUGCCUUUUACGCCGGCAGAAAGCAGUAUAAUGGGGCCGGAGAAAGAAAGAGACAUUCGUUGCUUGAAAGCCUUUUAAAGGCGCCCUCAGCGUUUCUAAUUGGCCACACAGGGUGUUGUCGGGAAGAUAAACGCCCAACCAGCCACCUCCCCCGGACAAGCUCCAGCAUGCCGUUUCCUGAAACCGGGACCUGACGGCACACUUAAGGCAGAAUUCUUUUCUGGUUGGUUCUAAUGUUUUAUAUCAAAGCCUCAAGGUUUAAUCUCUUCAAUCUUUUCGAAUGCCUGGCCUAUUAAGAGGCUUUCAAACGGUGCUCCUAUGUGGUCUUGACCUGAAUAUCUCCGAAAUGCACCAGUCGAGGCUCAUUUUCGGAGUUGUUUUACAUAAGUGCAUCCAACUCUCAGGACACACAGACUUGUGACUUUGUCAAAUAACUUAGAUUUGGUUCGCUUGGAGUCUGUUUGCCUUCAGAUACUUGCGUGUCGUCCCCCCCCCUUGUUUCUCGAUAUAAUAAAGAAUGAACUUCAAAGACCCUAGAACUCUUUAGCCAAUCAAGCAAGUUGCUAAAAAAAGAAACUUUCAACUCGAGCAACUCGGGCACUUGAGAGGUGGAGGAAGGAGGAGCAAGUGUAAUGCCAGCCUGGGCUACAUGUCCGCAACCCUGCACAUUGCUAGCCCGGUUCUGUGAGAUGGCCCCUGUCAACUCCGCACUCAGCCUUGGCUCUUUAAUCUCACCCCAGCACCUCUGGCCACUUCCCUUCCGGGAUCCGUGCACUACUCCACAGGGCUGAGAAAAUGCUUUCUCCCCCUUUUCUGGAAGGUCGGAUUCUUUAAAUUGCUCAACCCAGCUUGUCCAGGAAACGCCUUCCUUGAUCCUGGAAUGGGGGCACGUCCCUCGUUGGCUGCUGCGUGAGCAAAGGAACUAUUUUCCAGCGACUGUCCUCAGGUGACCUGUCUAGACGCUCAGAG